This is a long non-coding RNA of Melospiza melodia melodia, 5238 nucleotides long. RefSeq lists it as uncharacterized. NCBI's taxonomy places the organism in Eukaryota, Metazoa, Chordata, Aves, Passeriformes, Passerellidae. The record is from RefSeq and is a predicted model, not a curated record. The transcript is spliced from 2 exons.
UCCUAAUUCCGAUCCUGAUUCCCCUGUAAUUUCCGGGGUUUCAGGACGCUUUAGGAGUUUCCUGGGGUUUCUGGGUCUUGGGACCGGAGGAUCUCAUAGUAUUUCCUGCUCCCUUUCCUCGAGAGCCUUUUCCCCCUGGCUACCUGAGGCCAGAGCUAAUUUUUUCUCAGAGCUUUGCUCCCCGCCUCCUUCUGAGGGCCCUGCAAUUUGUUGCUUCUCCAGUCUUUUCGACUGCACCGAGAUACCUUCCAGCAUCAAUCUUGCCGGCGAGAGCAGCUUUAACGCUGUCUCAUCUUUUUUUGUUGCUAAGAGAUAUAAAUGCCUGUUGAUUUCCUGCCAAAACCCUACUUCGAACAGCAGGCGUGUUUCCGAGAGUGGGUAGUUUAGCCUUACCCACAACAAUAAUUGUUUUAAUUCUUUCUUUGGGAUCCCUUCUGUGUAUGUUGCAGCCACGCCUUGUAAGGCGGACAAAAUUCCCAGCUGUUCCUGGGAGAGUGUGCCCCCCAUGUUCUUAUUUUUGACCUUCUCACCAAAUCUGUCGUCAGAGCGGUCCGGAGGCUCUCGAUCUCCGUCCAGCGGGUCAUGAGGGAUGGAUCCAGGGGUGCCUUUCCUGGUUCCUUUCCGGGCUGCUCUGCUACGAACUGUCUUCGGCAGAAGCUGAGAGAUGGAAUUCUCAGUGACUGCUGUUUUUUGCAGACUCUCCUGGCCGUUUUUUUUUUCCUCUUGUUUUUUUUCCGGCUUCUCUCCUCAGGAGUUAUCAGUGCUCUCCUGGGAAUUCGUCCAAGGCCGGCGCUGCCCUCUCGGCUCUCUCCUGCUCUUCAGUUCUUCAGGGCUGAUCCCCCCCCGAAAGGUUUGGUGGGGAGUAGCACAUGCAGCGGACGCCACUCGCCAGAGCUCUCCUGGCUGAUUUAUGGCCUGGAAAGGCUUGGAGAUGUCCUUGAACAGCCCGCGCUUCAAAGGACAAGAAGAGGCUUCAGGUUUUUUCUCGAUCUUCAGUAUUUAUUAGUUGUUUAUCUAAAAGAUUUUCUCUCGGCCUGACAGAGGUCUGCACAGCAUGUCAGCCAUGAGCACACUGAGAGCCCCCAGGGCGGUCACCUAUCUUUAUACUCAAAAUUACAUAUACAAUAUUUACCUUUUCCCUCCAAUACUUGUCACCCUUAUUGAUCAGUGCACUUCUAGUAAUAACCAAUCCCAAAGUGCCAACAUCACCACAGAAGAUGGAGGCGAAGAAGAAGAAGAAGAAGGACAGGACAUGCCCCAAUUCCUCCAUCUUACUUCUCUAAACCCCCCUGUACAGAAAUCCUAAACCCUGUGUUUUACACUCUAAUCAACUUAUCCCUUCACCAUUUACCCCAGUGAAAUCCUCCCAUCCUCAUACAGGUGUCGUCUCCCUUGCAGGAUCAAAGUCCAGCCACCAGACACUUCUGGCAACAUUCCAGGAUUCCCGAGCCCCCCAAAGGUGGUCUCGGCCUCUCUGCACAUCAGUCCUGAGGUGCUGAGAUCCCACACCAAUAUUCCCAUAACCCAAUGUUCCCAUAUUCCAGUAUCCCUAUUUUUCAAUAUUCCAAGAUUACCCAGUUCCCAUAUCCUAGCAUUCCCAUCUUUUUCUGCAGAAACCACCCCAAAAUUCCUGAGUCCCAUCCCUGUUCUGGCAGCAUGAAAGCCCCCUCAUUUUCCUCAGCUCUGUGAAAGUCCAACUCCUGGAAUUCCUGGAGAAGGAAACAAUAACCCAGGAGUCCCAAAAUAGCUCUGAUUUCCCUUCCUUUCACGGGAGCAGCAGGAUUGGGGUGGGAAAUCCGCUCUCCCGGCCAUCCUGGUUCCUCAAGGGGGAACUCCCCAAAAUCCAGGCCCUGGAGCUCCGGGAGGAGCUGCCUGGAUGGAUUUGGGAUGUUCAGGGUGUUGAUUCCAUGCAGGAUUUCCUUCCCACCUUGUGGAAUUCCCAGCAGACAGGCCCCGAGGAAGGGAAUUUUUGCGGAGGAAGAGCCUGAGCAAGGAGGUUGUUCUGCUCCUGAGGGAUUCCUGCUGGGAUUUAUGGGAGAUAUUUGGGAUGUGGACACUGACCCAUGGUUCUGGCACUCCACAGCUCAUCCCUAUCCUGGAAAACCCUGGAGAUACCCAUCCAAAUCCAGCAUCCAGCUCCUCCCUGUGCCUUCCCAGGCUCUGGAAUGCUCUGGAAUCUGCAGGGACAGACAAUGGGAGCUAAUUGAGCUCUUGAGUAACGCCCAGAAUGUUGAUCAUCACCAAUCCACAUGGAAGAGAAUCUCUGGAGCUGUUUGAGGAGAGGAGGAAAAAAUUGAUUUAUCCCCAACACUGAGUGGGAAAAUGGCUGGAUUUAGGUGGGGUGGGCAGGGCUGGAGCAUCUUGGAUCCCACCAGACUCAUUCCUACUGCAGGGGAACCUCUGGAACAGGUGCAGCACUGGGAAGGUGUCAGGUUUUUAUGGAAUAACCUCCGGAAUUGGUGUCUUCCCAACAUUCAUGCGUGAGGCCAAAGGCUUUUCCCUCAGGAGGUUGGACUGUCCUUCUCUCCAUGGGCUCAAUUUCCAUUUUGUGGGAUGGGAGAAGCCGGCUCUGCCUUGGAAAGGUCUGGAAUGGUCUCUGCACUGCAGUGGGAGCUGCUGGCUCAGCGCAUUCCCGGUGUUCUGCUCACCAAAGGCGCUGCUGGGAAUUCACCCCAGGAACAGGCAGUGGGAAUUUCCUUGUCCAGAGGCUUUGAGGGGUCUUUAACCUUAGAAAAUUUAAGAAAUGGAUUGGAAGUGGAGGCUAAAAUCCCUUUGAUCACCAGCUGAUUUCCCAUUUUUUCUUUCCCCUUUUCCACCCCUUUUCCCCCUCUUUUCGCUCCCCUCUCCUUCCCUUCCCUCUGGAAUUUCUUGGAUCCUUCAUGCACCCCAUCCAUUCCCAGGGAUCUCCAUCUCCAGGAUGCUGCUUGCCCAGUUCCUCACAGCGAAUUCCCCUGACAGACCCCAAGUCAGGGAAUUUUCCCAUAUCCUGGUGGAAAAUGACUCAAUCCCUGUCAGAACAGGAACCCCGGAAUGUUUUUCGUGUCAUGGGGCCCUUGCUUAUCCAUGUUGGCCUGAUGGGAAUUCUGCUUCAUCCUCACGCUUUGCCAGCAGCUCUGCUCUUCUCAAUGGAAGAUUGCCAGAUCCCAGGAUAUCCCAGCCUUUGCCAACAGCUCUGCUUUUCCCAAUAGAAGAAUUCCAGAUCCUGGCCCAGCUGGUGGAUGAGGUGUUUUCCACACUGCCUCCAUUAUAUCCAGGGAAUGUCGCACUGGGCUGAGGAGUCUCUUCCCAGCUCCCUGGAAAAGGGGUGGGAGAGGAAUUCCAUGAGAAAUCCAACCUCCAGCUACCACCCAUUGAAUCCAAAGCUUUUCACACGGUAAUUUCCCAUGGAAUGAAGGAAAAAGAGGCUCUUCCAUCCUGUAGUGGGAAAUGCAACAACCUCCUUCUCCGGGUGAAACCCCUUCCACAUUCCCAAAAAAAGGGAUUUAUCAGAGGGAAGGUGCUCCUGGAAUGCUGCUGGGAAUGGCUCUCCUCAAUUUCCCAUCCAGCUCUAAAGCUGCCAGAAUCAAAGCCAAGGGAUUGGGGGGGACCCUCAGGUGCUGGCUGCCACCUGGGGCUGGCCAGAGCAGGGCUGGGCAAUGGCCAUCCCUGUGCAGCGGGGCUGGGCCAUGGCUGGGCCCCACCCUUGGAUGGCCACAACAACAACAUCAGCCACUCCACAAUACACACCACUGUCCCAACAACAUCACAAUAUUUAAUCAACAAUAUAAUAAUAAUGUAAUAUCAAUUCAUAUAAUAUCCAGCGAAAGUCAACUUCCAUUAACUUAUUUCUCACCAUAUAUACCAGUGAAGAACUGUUAUUCCUGUUCCCACAUCUUUGCCUAAAAGCCCUGUAAUUUCAAAGUUAUAAUAGUUCAGGGAGAAAGGGGUCGUAUUUUCCAUUGCAAGGGAGGUUCCCAUCUUGUUCAGCUUCCCUGACAGAGUUGAACAAAGAAACACCAUUUCUGCCAGUUUAACCAAAGAGCUGCAUUUUUGCCCCAGGAGCAGGGAACCAGGUCCUGUGCCCCCUUGGAACUGGGAUGGGCACCAGUGAGCCACUUUAGUGGGAGCACUGAGGGAGAUUGCAGGGCCACUAAGCACAUGGGGGUUAAGAGGGACAAAUCUGAUUUGGAUUUAUGUCUCAACAUAUGCUACACAUGAGGUGAAAAAUGACUCUGUGGGCUGUCCAUGUGCUGGGAACCCUGUCCCUGGCGAGGCUUCACAAAACAGAUGAUCAGGGGAGAGAUUGGGCUGUAAGUGUGUGCUGGGGGAAGCAAUGAGAGAAGUAAAGAAUGAUGCAAACAAUACCUAUCUCAUUUAAUGUGCUCCUGUGUUGUUCACAAGUGGAAUGCAUUGUGGAAGAUUGUUUACCUGAAGGGAAUUGGUAAAUAGAUUCAGGUGUGAGUGCUUUGAUUCACUGACCAAUUGAAUCCAGGUGUUUGUGUGUGGGGACUGUCGGCUGACAGUCAUGAGAUUGUGUUCAGUGGAGUGCAGUUGAGUGCUUGGCAGAUUCAGUUUAGAUGUAAUGUAAUAUAAUAUAGAAUAAUACAGUAUAAUAGUGUAAUUAAUUAGCCUUUUGAAAAGAUGGAGUCAGAUGCCUCAUUCCUCCUGCACGUUGGGCAAAAAUAUCACUGAUACUCCCCCCCUCAACUUUUCCUUCGGAUGGUCCUUCUUCUAUGUCUGCACCUGUUCCUCCCUGCUUCGCUGCUUCCCCGAGGCAGCUCAUUCCUGCUCCUCCUGGACAUUCCAUCAUUGCUUCCCGAUGGAGCAGAUGCUGCCUGCACCCACCCGCCGCCUCUGCCACGUUUCCUAUGCUGCCCACAGCACCGAGCCUGCUGCACCUGCCCACCGCAGCCCCAGCCCACGGCAGCCAGCCCAGAGCCACCAGUGCCGCAGCACCAGCCUGCAGCCAGCCCGCAGCAGCCAGCCUGCAGCCAUCGCUCGCCCAUGCCAGAGACACGCAGGUGCCGUUGCUUGGAAAUCACACCCAGCCACUCACAAAAGCCAUGUGGGCUCGCCCUGGCUUGCAGCACACACACUCCAUGUGCCCAGAUGAUGCCCACAGAGCACCUGGGCUGCUUGUGGUAACGCUGUCCCUGUCUUCUGUUUCUCUCUCUCUAUCCUUUUCCCUUUCUACUCCCUUCUCUGCCCCUUCAGAAGAAUACUUAUCCUCCUUUAUCAAUAAACAGUUCUCAGAUAUAA